Molecule: ribosomal RNA, 253 nt
Filed under: uncultured bacterium
Lineage: Bacteria
Description: partial 16S ribosomal RNA
Rfam family: Bacterial small subunit ribosomal RNA
Source: RNAcentral
UACGGAGGGUGCGAGCGUUGUCCGGAAUCACUGGGCGUAAAGGGCGCGUAGGCGGCGCGGGAAGUCAUCGGUGAAAGCUCAGGGCUCAACUCUGAGUCGGCCGGUGAUACUCUCGUGCUUGAGCACUGUAGAGGCAGGUGGAAUUCCGGGUGUAGCGGUGGAAUGCGUAGAGAUCCGGAAGAACACCGGUGGCGAAGGCGGCCUGCUGGGCAGUAGCUGACGCUGAUGCGCGAAAGCCAGGGGAGCAAACGGG